RNAcentral lists this ribosomal RNA (468 nucleotides) under uncultured bacterium. RNAcentral describes it as "partial 16S ribosomal RNA". It matches the Rfam family "Bacterial small subunit ribosomal RNA", at positions 28 to 507 of the family's 1533-position model. The record is from RNAcentral.
GACGAACGCUGGCGGCGUGCUUAACACAUGCAAGUCGAACGGAAAGGCCCUGCUUUUGUGGGUUGCUCGAGUGGCGAACGGGUGAGUAACACGUGAGUAACCUGCCCUUGACUUUGGGAUAACUUCAGGAAACUGGGGCUAAUACCGGAUAGGAUCUCCUGCUGCAUGGUGGGGGUUGGAAAGUUUCGGCGGUUGGGGAUGGACUCGCGGCUUAUCAGCUUGUUGGUGGGGUAGUUGCUUACCAAGGCUUUGACGGGUAGCCUGCCUGAGAGGGUUAACGGCCACAUUGGGACUGAGAUACGGCCCAGACUCGUACGGGAGGCAGCAGUGGGGAAUAUUGCACAAUGGGCGGAAGCCUGAUGCAGAAACGCCGCGUGCGGGAUGACGGCCUUCGGGUUGUAAACCGCUGUCGCAUGUGACGAAGAGUGAGUGACGGUAAUGGGUAAAGAAGCAACGGCUAACUACGUG